UACGUAGGUGGCAAGCGUUAUCCGGAAUUAUUGGGCGUAAAGGGCAAGUAGGCGGUGGCCAAAGUUGGGCGUGACAUCUCCCGGCUCAACUGGGAGGGGUCGUUCAAAACUAGGUCACUAGAGGGCAGGAGAGGGAAGCGGAAUUCCUAGUGUAGCGGUGGAAUGCUCAGAUAUUAGGAAGAACACCAGUGGCGAAGGCGGCUUCCUGGCCUGUACCUGACGCUGAGAGGCGAAAGCUAGGGUAGCAAACGGGCUUAGAUACCCCGUACGUCCUCGAGCGGGCGU
This 285-nucleotide ribosomal RNA is filed under the name uncultured prokaryote. RNAcentral's name for it is "partial 16S ribosomal RNA". It matches the Rfam family "Bacterial small subunit ribosomal RNA", at positions 524 to 809 of the family's 1533-position model. The record is from RNAcentral.